CUUACGAGGUUGGUCGCCAAGCAGUAAUCCCUGCAGUACUAGCGUAAAGAAUGUAGUAGUCGUGCUAGUCUCUGUUAAAUACUUCUUCUUAUCCCGCGGGCGAUGCUAAAAGAAAAACGGCACGACUAGAGGGAUAUGAGGGUGAAUGGAAACUCACGCAGUAGGGGUGAAAUCCCGUUGAUAUCAUGGGGAACACCAAAAAGCGAAAGGCAAUUCACUGGCGUAUUCUUGACACUGAAACACGAAAGCGUAGGUAGCGAAUGGGAUUAGAUACCCCAGUAGUCUACGCCCUAAACGAUGAUCGCUAGUUUUUCGGAGUAUCGACCCUCUGAGAGACGAAGCUAACGCGUUAAGCGAUCCGCCUGGGUAGUACGGCCGCAAGGCUAAAACUCAAAGGAAUAGACGGGGACUUGCACAAGCAGAGGAUUAUGUGGUUUAAUUCGAUGAUAAACGAAAAACCUUACCAAGAUUGGAAAUUUAACUGAAUACUCGGAGAAACUCGAGUAGUCCGCAAGGACAGUUAGACAGGUGAUGCAUGGCCGUCGUCAGUUCGUGAUUUGAGUUGUUCCCUUCAGUGGGGUAACGAACGCAACCCUCGUAGCCUGUUACAUGUGUCAGGCGAGACUGCCUCUUAUCAGAGGAGGAAGGUGAGGAUGACGCCAGGUCAGCAUGUCCCUUUGAUAUCUUGGGCUACACACAUAAUACAAUGGCCGGUACAACGGGUCGCGACGGGGUAACCCUGAGCUAAUCCUAAGAAAGCCGGCCCCACUUCAGAUUGGGGGCUGAAACUCGACCCCACGAAGUUGGAUUUGCUAGUAAUCGCGGGUCAGCCAUACCGCGGUGAAUACGUUCUCAAGUCUUGUACUCACCCCCCGUCAACUCAAGGGAGUUGGGAGUACCCGAAGUCCGCGCUUGUCGCGGCCUAAGGUAAGCUCAAUGACAGGGAGUAAGUCGUAACAAGGUAACC
This 967-nucleotide ribosomal RNA is filed under the name uncultured bacterium. RNAcentral's name for it is "bacterial SSU rRNA". It matches the Rfam family "Bacterial small subunit ribosomal RNA". The record is from RNAcentral.